Molecule: ribosomal RNA, 344 nt
Filed under: uncultured eukaryote
Lineage: Eukaryota
Description: SSU rRNA
Rfam family: Eukaryotic small subunit ribosomal RNA
Source: RNAcentral
CCAGCAGCCGCGGUAAUUCCAGCUCCAAUAGCGUAUAUUAAAGUUGUUGCGGUUAAAACGUUCGUAGUUGAACUUGUGCUUCAUACGGGUAGUAAUACUUACAAUUGUGGUAUUUACUAUGCCUUAUGUAUGUAAGCGUAUUACCGGUGGAGUUCUUAUAUAUAAAUAAUACUUGUAUUAUUUUAUGUAUUCCUCCUAUUUAAACCUACUUCAGUGCUCUUCAUCGAGUGCUGUUGUGGGCCGGUACAAUUACUUUGAACAAAUUAGAGUGCUUAAAGCAGGCUCAAAAUGCCUGAAUAUUCUGUGCAUGGAAUAAUGAAAUAAGACCUCUGUUCUAUUUCCAU